RNAcentral lists this ribosomal RNA (393 nucleotides) under uncultured bacterium. Its description in RNAcentral is "partial 16S ribosomal RNA". It matches the Rfam family "Bacterial small subunit ribosomal RNA", at positions 523 to 918 of the family's 1533-position model. The record is from RNAcentral.
AUACGGAGGAUCCGAGCGUUAUCCGGAUUUAUUGGGUUUAAAGGGUGCGUAGGCGGCCUUUUAAGUCAGCGGUGAAAGUCUGUGGCUCAACCAUAGAAUUGCCGUUGAAACUGGGGGGCUUGAGUAUGUUUGAGGCAGGCGGAAUGCGUGGUGUAGCGGUGAAAUGCAUAGAUAUCACGCAGAACCCCGAUUGCGAAGGCACCCUGCCAAGCCAUGACUGACGCUGAUGCACGAAAGCGUGGGGAUCAAACAGGAUUAGAUACCCUGGUAGUCCACGCAGUAAACGAUGAUCACUAGCUGUUUGCGAUACACUGUAAGCGGCACAGCGAAAGCGUUAAGUGAUCCACCUGGGGAGUACGCCGGCAACGGUGAAACUCAAAGGAAUUGACGGGG